GCGUCGGUAGUGUAACAAUUUAGCACGCGCUUCCGGAAAGAGUGAGAUCUGGGUUCGAAUCCUGGCUGACGCA
Molecule: non-coding RNA, 73 nt
Organism: Parelaphostrongylus tenuis
Lineage: Eukaryota; Metazoa; Nematoda; Chromadorea; Rhabditida; Metastrongylidae
Source: the annotation of a GenBank genome assembly